RNAcentral lists this long non-coding RNA (1946 nucleotides) under Triticum aestivum (bread wheat). RNAcentral's name for it is "long non-coding RNA (TAES_LNC017660)". The record is from RNAcentral. Lineage: Eukaryota; Viridiplantae; Streptophyta; Magnoliopsida; Poales; Poaceae.
UUGCUGUUGGUGUCUGCUGCUUCUGCAGCCCCUGCCGGCCGCCUCUUAGGUUGGGUUUUGCUACCACUACUGAAGUUUCCAUUGCCUCGGCAAGGCGUCGUCGUCUUACUUGCAAGGCACACAUUGCACCGCGGGCAACAUUUUGCUAUGCAUGGCCACUCAUGUCAAAGCUGGGUUCCAGUUUGACGACCUCUCUAUCAAGUCUCCAUGUUCUUCUUCCCGGUACUUUCUCCAUCUGCUGUUAUAGUCUCUUGCAAGUACGGCUUAUCCAGUUUGAUGUCAUGUUGCUUCGACAGUUGUGUAUUAACCCCUUAGGAAGAAGAGCGGGGAGAUGGAAGUUGUAGGCGUGUGCCCCCGGCCGACCGUCGUUAGACCAGUAUGAGCUAGCGGCGGUGGUCGUCGAGGACUCUAAGCAUCCGCGGAUUGUCGUGGCGUAGUGGUGCCACCGAGGGCACCAACAUCAGCAGUAGAUGCAACAACGGCGGCAACGGUAAGAGACAUAGGCCAAGGAUAGGGAUAGAGCAACUCAGCCACAAUAAUUUUUUAUUAAUUAUGAGAUGUUUCUUAUUUAUUCUAGAUAUGAUCUACUCCCUACAUUUCAUAAUGUAGUGCUCUUGAGAGGUGGAGCAUUAAAGAGCAAAUCAACUGGGCCCAGGCCUUCAUGGCUUCGUCCCCUACUUUCUACUGAUCCAUGCCAACUGCGUAGUUAUUUACUUUGGAAAGGCCUAGAUAUAUUUCACAUUUAACAGAAAAGUUCACACUGCAAUUGUCUGUACAAAGUUAUGUUUUGUUUUCAUUAUUUGUUUAUGUAACUCAUUUUUGGACUUGGUACUCAUUUGACAAUAGUGUUUUUAGAUGGUGCUGGGGAAUAGAUUCAGUUGAGUGGUGGAGUUAGCACUUGCUCAUGGUCAUGGAUGACUCUUCCUCGUCGAUGGAUGUAUGUUUAGUACUCCGUCAGUUUCAUAAUUCUUGUCGUGCUUUUAGUUCAAAGUAAAACCAUGUCAAGAAUUAUGGAAUGGAGGGAGUACUUAUUUGCCGAACCGGAGUUAAUACGUGCAUGGUGUGUGGUAACUACUCUUGCAUUUGAAUUUUUUGUGUGCGUUUAGUCUUUUAGAGGCUUUGUACUCUAUUGAUACACAUGUGGCAUAUCUGCAGGAUAGAUAAUGUUUCAUUGGUAGCCCACACAGUGCAUCUAGAGAAAACAAUUGCUUUCAUCGGCAUACGGGGAUAUAUUCUUCAGUGGACAUUCAGCUAGAAUACAUAUGAAUUUUCCAUAUACUUAAGAGUUUUUUCUCUCAAGGGAGCUGCAUUUUUUUAGAAAGGGAAUAACACAUAUUGGUUGUUUUCAUGGUAUUAGCCACCUCUAUUGUGUGUCUCAAUCAUUUAAAUUUUGGGCAUUGUACUAUCAUGGAUCAGUUUUGCAAUAAAUUGGUAGAAGUUUUUGCCCCCAAGAAUAUAAUGAGAAAUAUUUGCCGCAACUAAACUUUGCUGAGCAUGUCUAUUAACACUUUCCUCUUCUCCUAUUAGAUGUAAUGAUGUAGACCAAAGCAACCCUCAUGUAUAUUGAUACUAUACUAGAAGGCCACUGAAGAAUUUUACAGAACAAGAGAAGAUGGCGUGCACCAUAUCUUUAAGAUGACUUCCCUCACCAUGUGGCAUGCACUUUUCGGUUUUACUUUAGCGCAAUUGCCAUGUAUGUAAGGGAUGCAAUUAGGCUGAAUAUUGCAAUUGUAGUUUUUUCUAAACUUUUUCAACAUCCCAGCAUUAGUAAAAUACUCCCCCCAUUCCAUAAUGUAAGACUUUUUUGCAAGUUAUAUGUUUGUACAUUAUAUUGCUGGAAAUCAAGAAUUUACUCUUUUUGACUAAUAUUGUGUUUUAAUAGUCCAUUUCCUUUGUUUCAAAGGGUUGCGAUAGUGAAUAAAGCAAGAGCAACACCUUGUUUGUCG